Gallus gallus (chicken) is the source of this 306-nucleotide long non-coding RNA. The record is from Ensembl. NCBI's taxonomy places the organism in Eukaryota, Metazoa, Chordata, Aves, Galliformes, Phasianidae.
GAAGCAUCUCUCCUGUACCGUAUACCUCCAGUGCCUGAGUGUUGUAUCUCUAAAGUUGUGGAAGCUAUCUGCCUAGGAGAUGAAAACAUAAGGCCCAGAUGUCAGCUCAGGCUGAGUUGUGCUUGAUGGAGGAGUUCGCCGUGCGUGGGGGAGGCCCACCACAGCUCUCGUGACUCCCAGAGUGCUGGAGUUCACUUGCAUGUGGAAGAAAAACAAAACCUCUGCAACAUUAACUGGCCUCAGAAUCCCUGAUAGAAGACUGCUCUCAAAACUCUUUCAGGAUUCCAAUCUCACUGAUGUCAGCAG